UGUUGGUGUUCCUCCUUCCUUCAUGACACCAACAACAUCUCGGAAAUUUCCUUUGUCACCAACUGUAAGAGCUCUGUUUGCUUUGAUAGUCUUGACAACCCAUAACCUAAUUUUGAAUUUCAUUGAUGUGCCAGGUUAGAGUUUGUCACUUUUCACAUCAGGGUGUUGGUGAACCAAUUCUCCUUCCUUGUCUGCCUCCUGAUG
RNAcentral lists this long non-coding RNA (204 nucleotides) under Vigna radiata. Its description in RNAcentral is "long non-coding RNA (VRAD_LNC012922)". The record is from RNAcentral. Lineage: Eukaryota; Viridiplantae; Streptophyta; Magnoliopsida; Fabales; Fabaceae.